GGGAGCUCUCCCAUAUGGUCGACCUGCAGGCGGCCGCGAAUUCACUAGUGAUUAGAGUUUGAUCAUGGCUCAGAACGAACGCUGGCGGCAUGCCUAACACAUGCAAGUCGAACGAAGGCUUCGGCCUUAGUGGCGCACGGGUGCGUAACGCGUGGGAAUCUGCCCCUUGGUUCGGAAUAACAGUUAGAAAUGACUGCUAAUACCGGAUGACGACGUAAGUCCAAAGAUUUAUCGCCGAGGGAUGAGCCCGCGUAGGAUUAGCUAGUUGGUGGGGUAAAGGCCUACCAAGCCGACGAUCCUUAGCUGGUCUGAGAGGAUGAUCAGCCACACUGGGACUGAGACACGGCCCAGACUCCUACGGGAGGCAGCAGUGGGGAAUAUUGGACAAUGGGCGAAAGCCUGAUCCAGCAAUGCCGCGUGAGUGAAGAAGGCCUUCGGGUUGUAAAGCUCUUUUGUCAGGGAAGAAACGGCCUGUUCUAAUACAGUGGGCUAAUGACGGUACCUGAAGAAUAAGCACCGGCUAACUACGUGCCAGCAGCCGCGGUAAUACGAAUCGAAUUCCCGCGGCCGCCAUGGCGGCCGGGAGCAUGCGA
Molecule: ribosomal RNA, 593 nt
Filed under: uncultured Alphaproteobacteria bacterium
Lineage: Bacteria; Pseudomonadati; Pseudomonadota; Alphaproteobacteria
Description: bacterial SSU rRNA
Rfam family: Bacterial small subunit ribosomal RNA
Source: RNAcentral